This 446-nucleotide long non-coding RNA is filed under the name Heterocephalus glaber (naked mole-rat). Its description in RNAcentral is "lncRNA (ENSHGLG00000044863.1)". Lineage: Eukaryota; Metazoa; Chordata; Mammalia; Rodentia; Bathyergidae. The record is from RNAcentral.
AGAGAGACAGAGAGACAGAGAGAGAUUUUGGGGGUCAAGAAGGUUGGUGAAGUUGUCCCCUGUGGGUCUGGCCACUUUUCAUGUAGAACCAGACACAGGGGUCAGCUCGUGUCUAAGACAAGCAAGGACCGGGAGCAUAACAGAAGGAAGGAAUUUAAUAACGGACAGCGGUGGGACCCAGGAACCUCCGCCUGAGCCCUCUGGCAAGCCUGCACCAGGGAUGGAGCACUGCGCACAGCCCCUUCUGUUCCUGUGAGGGGCCUGGCCUCUCAGGACAACCUGCAUGUGAAGAAGGAGCAGCUGCCAGGAACCCAGGGAGGAUUCCGGGGAUGUCCGGGCGCGUUCCAGUCCAUCGAGCUGUCUGCACACAGGAGUGCCUCGCAGGCCACAGGUGGACGCCCCCCUCGCCCCUACUGGAGCAUUAAACACAUCCUCAGAGUUGCGUG